Long non-coding RNA from Anas platyrhynchos (mallard), 7863 nucleotides. RefSeq lists it as uncharacterized. The record is from RefSeq and is a predicted model, not a curated record. NCBI's taxonomy places the organism in Eukaryota, Metazoa, Chordata, Aves, Anseriformes, Anatidae.
CGGUGCGAGGCCGCCCCCGGUGCCGGGGCUGCAGGAGCGGAGCCCCCCCCCUCAGGCCCCCCCCUCCCCUCCCGGCAGGGGGAGGCGGUGCCAGCGGAGCACAAUGCCCGGGCGAUGACAUCACCCCUCUCCCCCAUUGGCCGAAGCCGGCCCGCAGCGCAGGCUUCUGGGAGUUGUAGUCACCCUCGCUAUUCCCUCCUAUAGGGAGGGGGUGAAGGCGGACUCGCUUUCCCGGCAGGCCCCGCGCCGCGCAGCCCCAUGGAGGAGGAGGAGGGGGGCGGUGGCGGGCGCCAUGUUGGUGGCGUGAGGGUGGUGGCGGUGCGGGAGGGGAGCCGGGCUAAGAUGUCGGAAAAGGGGGGCGGAGGGGGGGCGCUGGGUGCCUCCUGAGCAGGGGGAGGCUCCGCGAGCCCUCGGCGGCGGGGCCCUGAGGAGCGACGCCCGCUGAGGGCUUAAGGAGCUGACCGGUUCCAGGUGCUGUCUUGGGUUCAGCAUACUCGCUGCCUGGCUUGAGGAUGCCAGCUAGAUUUUUUUUAAUGGCUGUAGAAUUUCCUGUACUGACAAUAAGCUCUGCUUGUGCUGUUCUUUGUGAGAGAAUAGAAAAUUAGCCAUUUAUCAAAUGAGAAGCUCAUCUCUGGUAAGGGGACUGGAGUUCUCUUGUUAUUGCUGAAAUAUUUUUUCUCUAAACUGGGAGGAAAGGCAAUGAUGUAUUCUAUGGUUUGUGAAAUUAUAUGGUUUUUAAUUACAGCUCAUUCCUGUGAAAUAAAGUUCUUUAUUACUUCAAGAGGACACUCCAUUGAAAGGAGUUGAAGAGUUUUGUAGGCUCCCUGCAAGUGUGAGCCUAAGUCGAAUAAUGGUGUAGGUCAGGAAAAAGGAUUUAAAAGGUUUUAUUUCUAAAAUACUUUGGCUCCUCCUGGAGGUAAGUACAAUGCGUUUGCUCAGGGUAAUACCUCACAGUAACUACGCAGGUAUGGAAGUUGUUUGCCCAAGGGUACAUCCAGAUGGUGGAGGAAGGGUGUCAUGAGAUAUAAUUCCUAACCACAUCAUUAAACCUAAAUGUUGGAGUCUUUCAGGAUUUGUUGAUACUACAGCAAUGCGUGCCAUUCUUCCAUCUCUUUAAAUCCAGAUCCAUCUAGUUAAAGAAUCUGAACUAAUUCCUAGCUUUUCCCAUCCUCUUGCAAAAGACCAGGUGUCUUUGGAGGUGCGCCUUACAUAGUUCUCCCUACCCCAGUUUAUCCCUUUUGCCAUCUUCAUCACUGAAGGAAAGGAGAAUAUAAUGCUCUGUUGGCGCUAUAACUUUCAGUAGUAGUUGUAAACAUCUGAAGAAUCCUGAAUUACAGGCAUCCCCGCCUUUGUCUUCUUUCUCUGUGCCGCUGUGGCAGUUGUGCCAUGGAAAAAAAAAGGCAGUGGCAUGAUGAUAUGUUACAACGGUUGCUCUCUUUAAACUUCAACCCUGUGCUUAUAUCUGUGUAGCUGAUGCCAAAUAAUAAUGGUAAGUAUUGCAAUGUCUUCUCUAUAACCGGCAGAAAACAUGGAUGUGAAAUCCUCAUCCAAGGUUCAAAUAUAUACUUUUAAACUGGUUUAGAAACAAUUCCACUGGCAUUGGCCCUUCUCUUUCUGUCCUUCCUCUCUGAUCCAAUGCUGCUGCUCAGGGCAGAAAGCAAGGAUGCAUCCUGCUUUACAAGUAAAAUUACUUCACUAUUUUACUAUUCUUCGUUAUCUGAAGGUGCUGCAGAUGUCUCAGCUAAGAGUUGCUUUAGGAGAUUGAAAUGUAGAAAUAAAGAAUUAAUGUAAGAAAGUACCCAGAUGAAUACAUGAUGCAGCAGACAAGUAAAAUACUCCUGUGUUGUAUGGUUUACUUUCAUGAUUCUGGGGUGGUCUAAUAUUUGUCACCAUGAAUUUUACUGAUCACAACUUGCAAGAGUUUUUAAUUGUAAAACCUUUGUUGUCUCAAAUUUAGAUACUUUUUGUACAGUGUUUGUUUGAAAAUGAUCGUGUCUGCUUACCUUCUGACUUAACAGGUCCUAAUUGCAAGAUCUGCAACAAGCUUAUAACCCUUAUAGCCACGCUGUGGAAAUAAGUGUUGUCGCUGUUGUCACAGUGUUUCACACAAGAAGACUUAAGGUGACAAUAGAAUCAAAUGCCUGCCUUUGCCAUUUCUAGAAUGCAUGGGUAUACUCUGGUUUAAUAGUUUAUGAAAGCUUGUUCAAGUCUCUGAAAGGUGCCGAGCCUGCUAAGCUGCCAUGGUUGUUUAUACUUCAGUUAUUUUGUCAAAAUUCUACACGAUAGGAGCUACAACUCCCAUGUUAGAAAAAUGAUUUUGGUCACAGUAAACUCAGGUAAGCAACUACUCAGUGCCCUGAAAUAGGGAGAAGCAGUUGGAAGUCCCAGAAGAUGGGUAAAGAAGACAAGGAUAAGUAGGAAUGUGUGAUGCCUGUUCGCUGUUUUUCUUAAAGAAGAAAUUAAUGCAUUUUCAUACAUGGAAACUUCCUAUCUCAGCUUUCAUUCUGAAAGGUUCUUUCUCUUCCUUAAAACCUAAAGGAUUUGCAUGCUAUAAAUUCAACCUUCCCUGGAUAGUAUGCAAAAACGGGUCUACAGUCUGUAUGAGAAAUACACAGGUCUACAAGAUGAAGCGUGAAGUUGGUCCUAUAUAACUUCAGCCAUCAAACCUGCUGGGUGGAAACAUUUUCAUGUGCACUCAAACAGGAAGUGGAGGAUGGUUUCUAAAGGUAACUGAUAAAAUCUGUACUAGUCUUGGCACUUAAAAAAAAAAAAAAUCAAUUCUCUUACUAUCCCAGCUACAAAACUUAGUUGUCCACAGUUCCCCUGGGGAAAGGGGUUAAGCUGAAGAGUCACAGCCAGAUUACUUGCUUUAGAGCUUAUGAGGAAAGGGGGGUAAAGACUUUCAAAUUACUGCUCUGAUUUUGGGGUUUAAGCAGUUGCUGUGAGCUUUCUUGUUUGUAAUGAUCUCCAACAGAGCUGCAUCCUGAAGAGUUUACAGCUGCAGGGUGAGAGAGUGGAUUGAGCUGGGCAUAGCAGGUAAAAACUAUAUGGUGUUACUGUUCUCAAGAAUCUUAAUGGUAAUUCAGGAAAAUAAUCUUAAAUACAUUAUUUAUUCUACUUUGUUCUUAAACAGAACUUGAAAAGGCACAGGUAAGAGCAGAAGGAUUCUGUACCUCAAGUGUUCAUAAAUUAUGGGGACACAGUUAAAUAUCCAGGAGACCCUAGAAUUCCUGCAUUAACUUUUUUUUAUUUUUCAGUGCAAGAAGAGUGCUUUGAGAGCAGUUGAGAACCUCUUCAGGUGUCCUAAGCAUGUUCUCCAACUGAAACGUGGCAGCAGUUCAAUAGCAGUUACACAACAGAAGGGGGUUUGCACAGUACUGCAAGUCCUGGAUUCAUAGGAACUGGUUUUAGUAGAGAGAAGACCUCAGGUUUCUCCAGAACUUUUAACUCCUGUGAAUGUAAAUGAGGACUCAUCCGCAGUACUGAAGAGGAAACUUACUCCUACUGUUGACACUGGACAGGAGGAUUAGGAUAGGGGACUUACUUCAUUCUAGGCAGAGCACUGCCUUUGAAAAACUGCAGGCAGUCCUAAGUACAGGAGAUUCCAGUUGUGGGAAAAUCCCCCUUGGGAGGGCACACUAACAACGGGGAGAACUUGGUAAACAAGGGAAACACAAGUUAAGCAUGCUGCUUCUCAGCUAAGUGCAGGCAUUUCUCUUCAGGUGACAUGACUUAAGGUGUCCUUUGAAGACCACAGAGUUACUGCCAGACCACAUUCCCAUUUCUCUUAAGAACUUAAAUGCAGUUGCACAGUCCAGGACCACCCAAGUAGUUUUAGUCUCGGUCAAGUGAGAGAAUACUUACUGAUUUAAAAAUAAGAGUACUUUUUGGUCCCCUUGAGUCCUGCAGAGCUAUUGGAGCGGUGCACUGAAGGUAAGCUUUCCCCACCCACAUGUUGCAAGAGACUGGCACACAGAUCACUUGGGGGUCCAGGGCUGAGCAUAAAGCCUUUGGCUGGCUGUGAUCUAGCCGUCAUGUACCCAAUAAGCACACCUCAGCAAUUCCACGUGGAACGAGAAAGUUAACACUGGGGCUGCACUGGUUCAGAUGUGCUCUGUGUGCGCACUGUGCUCAUUGGCACAACACUUGAUUUCAUACUGUGUUGCAUAAAGCACGCAGGGUAUCAUGCUGAGGUUACACUGAGUACAGACCCUGCUCUCAUGCCAGUAAUCCUGGGAAGGUCUAUUUUUGUUGUGUAGUGGUAAACCUGGGUUUGUAAAUGAUACUGGCUCACUCAGGUGCCAGUGUGCCUGUCCAUGCCAGAGCAGUACUCCAUGAGCUGGCAAAUCCUUAAGCAUGGUACUAGUUUUCAGUUAUUUAAAAAAAAAUAAAAGGGAGGGGAGGUAUGAGGGGGUUAGGCAGGGAUUUUUUUUUCUGAUGGGUGACACCAAAUUUAAAAGCUGACUAAAAAUAUCUCUUUGGGAAAGUACAUUUUAGGAAAAUAUAAAUGCUGUGAUUAGGGUAAUGUGACCCACCGGUUAUGGCCAUUGUCCAGCACGGUUCCUCAUCCCUGGUUGUGUAUAGUUUUUUGUUUUGUUUUGUGGUUUACGUGAAAAAGCACGUUGGACAUAGGGAGACUGUGAAAACUAUAACCAUAGGUAAAAAUGUCACAGCUGCUUUUUUGUUAAAUCACACACCAUUUAUUUUCUAAGAAAGUCCUGCAACUAAAUUGCUGGAGUCCCAGGUUAUGCGUGUGUUCCCACUUCUCUGGCUACUUAGGUGCAAUGGCACAAAAUUACUCCUUGCUUUCUACACAAUUCAGUUUAAAAUACAAGUCUUUCCAGUGUGAGUACUGUGCAGCAGUAUCAUUGGAGCAUUCCUUAACAUGCACAAGCCGUUUCCAUGUCGGUAUGUAACACUGCAGUGUGAAAAAGCACCCAGCUGCAGGGAUGGUGCCAUUUGAUAGUGUCUCCUGUGCUGGAAUUCCCUGGUUUUACUCCCCUUGCCUUGGACUCUGGUGACUGGUGUUUUUCUGAACUUUUUCUGUGUGUUCUCACUCUAUCAUGUACCUGAUUAUUUUUUGUUUGUUUUUGCCAUUUCUCUGCAAAUACCUUUUCAUGGAAAACGGGGAACAACAGUAAGUACCUAGGUUCCUGGCCAAGUUUCCAUUUGCAUGGUUUCACUUGCUCCAUUCUGUCAAGUUACAUGCAGUGUCCGAAGGAUAUAAUUUAGUGGACUGCUGGUAAGAAGCUAACCUUUACAUCUUGGCCCCAGCCCACGUAGGUCAGGUUUAUACAAGCCUGCUUCCUUAGGAUGAAUCCAGUGGCUAGUCUUUUACAGCCUUUGGUUUUCUGUUGCACUGCUUUAUGACAAAAUAAUGUUAUGCUGCUCUUGCAGACCCUUAAAAAGGGGUAAUGUAGGGGGUGAUUGCAUUAUACCUGCUGAGUUGCACAGCCCAGAAUCUUCUGAGCAUUGCUCUUCUAUUUACACAAGACCUCGGGCUCUCAAGUGUCCUAACUGCUCAGGUUCUGGGUUCAUCUGUACCAGGGUGGCUUUGUAUCCAGCAGAGCCUUUUGGGGCAUGCAUUCCCAGAAGGUCCACAACCCGAGCUUUGCAUUCUCAGAAAAUGUAGCUGUGUGAUGUGGGCUUGGUGGCACGGCUCAUUUAAGGUGCUUGCUGUUAUCUUUUGCCCCUUGCACUCCUGUUCCACAGUACACGGUUCCCUGGCAUGCCAACGCUGCCAUCUGCAGCGGCACAGAGAUUAGUCAGGAUGUUAUGUGCCCUGCCCUGUGUGCUUUUCUUUGGCCUGGAGUGGAAGCAGGAGGGGUUUGUAGUUCUGUGGCUCUUUUUUAAACCUGGAUCAGGUCAGUGAGGUGGUUGAGAGCAUUUCAAACACGGCAGUAAAAAUCAGCGAUCAGGUGCACAGCAGAAGUUGGCCUUUGGGCUGGUUGCUGAAGCUUCUAUCUCAUUAAACCAUGUACCUAAAGAUGCAGUUCAUUUUGUAGGGGAGGAGCAGCACCGUGUCCCUUGUGUAUGAUUGCUAUUGUUAACUGUGUUUUUUCUGCUUUAGGUCCCUGAUACAGGACGCAGCCAAAUGUUUGCUGCAUGUAGCCUUCUGACUAGGGAGUGGCAGCUUGAGAAACCCCGAUGCCUGUAAGCGUAGGGGGAGAAGAGAUUUAGAGAUGUGGAGGAGUUUUCCCAAAGUGUUGCCUUUUAUAACUGCUACGGAGAGUACUAACUUCUUACCUUAAAAUGUAAGUAUCUCUCACGGUUAAGGAGUUCUGUCGCCCCUGCACACCUAGCCAAAUACACCUCUUAUAUUUAAUGACAGAGUAGAUCUACACAAAGAAUUAAGUACUGAAAUGAUUCACGUGAUAGAUGUUUUUCAUGUCAAUAUUUUCCAGUGGUCCUGAUAAAAGUGAAUCAGUUUCAUUACAGUGGACGUCUUUACUAUGUAAAUACGAUUUACUGCCUCCACUCUGGUAAUGGUGAAUCUUAUCCUCUGGUGAGCCUGUCUCUCAAAGCGAGCCUGGUGAGGAUGACGCAGUGGCAGCCAUUUCAGAAUGAAAUGUGCAGUGGUUUUACUGUUAUGGUUCUGCUUUAGUCAAUGUCAGCUAUAAUAGUAAUUGCAUCCCUAAAGAGAUUAUUGCUGCUGUUAAACUUUCUGGAAAAACAAAUAGGUAGAGGCAGAUGCAGUCCUCAUGUGAAUUGGCCGGAGGGUGUUGCACAGCCAAGUGGGUACUGCAUCUCGUGUGAGAUGAAGGACAUCGGUGCUUUAUGAGUCUGUGGCAGUGAAGUCCAUUGACCUCCCUGCAAAUUCCUGCCUGCUGAAAGCUACUCUUGCCUCUUGGUUUUGUGAGUGGAGCAACUACUGGCCUAAUGCUUCCCGCUGGAAACAAGCAGGUAAGGAAAGGGAGUUGAUUUAGUGGGUACCCUGAACCAAUGAAAAUGAAUUAUUUUGUUUACUCUUAAUUUAUAAAUAUUACUCACAUAUUUAUAAACCAAUGCAUCAUAUUGUAAAUAUUCAUAAAUGUGGACAUAAUAUAUGUGUAUAUAUUUGUAUAAUAUGUAUCACCCAUAUUUAUAGGUAUAUAAGAUUGCAGUUUAUACGUAUAUAAAUCAAUAAGCCAGGGGAAUCAAGGAAAAAUAGAGAAGUGUGUUGCCAACGGGAUCCUGGGAUGGAGCAGCUGUUCCUGUUGAGAACAAGUCAAAGGUGACAGUCUGGUCCCAGGUAAGUAUGGCUUGUGCAAAUUUUCUUGUUUUGUUAAAAUUUCUAAUUAUUUCUCUCUUUCCAGCUCUCAUCCUUCAGCAGGUUCUUUGGCUGUGGGUUAACCUUGUCAGGAAUAUCAAGGCAUGUGACAUGCUUGGCCACAGAAGUCGGUACGUGUGGGGUCUCUCACAAGUUCCUGUCAACACUUCAGCAGUGCAGCUCUCCAGAAUGGAUAACGUUGCUGCCAUUCAUUCUGAGUGGCAUCAUGGUCUCCUUUACAUGGGUUUUACACUAUCUCAGUUAUCUCAACCUUUUGCUACAGUCAGUUUUUCAUUAUCUGAAGGUAAAUUUAGGUACAAGUCAUGACAGGCAAGGUCCUGGCUUGGAAUAUGCCUGCCUUCCUGUAGCACUCAGUCACACUCUGGUAUGGGUGGAUUUUCCUCUUAGGUACAGUCAAUUUGCCAGUCUUAUUCCUCCCAAAGCCAUUAUGCAGCUGAAUUUUCUAUCUUUUCCAGUUCUUUAUCUGCACAGCUUCCAGGUAAUGUGUACCUUUGGGGCACAGUGGGAUGGCUACCCCGGGCUUCCCCAAAAUUACUGCUCAGCAGUCAGGCAGUGAUAUAAAUACAAGAUGUUAUUUUGCUCGUGCCCACCAA